This 484-nucleotide ribosomal RNA is filed under the name uncultured bacterium. RNAcentral describes it as "partial 16S ribosomal RNA". It matches the Rfam family "Bacterial small subunit ribosomal RNA", at positions 30 to 507 of the family's 1533-position model. The record is from RNAcentral.
AUUGAACGCUGGCGGCAGGCCUAACACAUGCAAGUCGAGCGGAUGAAGGGAGCUUGCUCCUGGAUUCAGCGGCGGACGGGUGAGUAAUGCCUAGGAAUCUGCCUGGUAGUGGGGGAUAACGUCCGGAAACGGGCGCUAAUACCGCAUGCGUCCUGAGGGAGAAAGUGGGGGAUCUUCGGACCUCACGCUAUCAGAUGAGCCUAGGUCGGAUUAGCUAGUUGGUGGGGUAAAGGCCUACCAAGGCGACGAUCCGUAACUGGUCUGAGAGGAUGAUCAGUCACACUGGAACUGAGACACGGUCCAGACUCCUACGGGAGGCAGCAGUGGGGAAUAUUGGACAAUGGGCGAAAGCCUGAUCCAGCCAUGCCGCGUGUGUGAAGAAGGUCUUCGGAUUGUAAAGCACUUUAAGUUGGGAGGAAGGGCGGUAAGUUAAUACCUUGCUGUUUUGACGUUACCAACAGAAUAAGCACCGGCUAACUUCGUG